RNAcentral lists this ribosomal RNA (253 nucleotides) under uncultured bacterium. RNAcentral's name for it is "partial 16S ribosomal RNA". It matches the Rfam family "Bacterial small subunit ribosomal RNA", at positions 524 to 776 of the family's 1533-position model. The record is from RNAcentral.
UACGGGGGGGGCAAGCGUUGUUCGGAAUUACUGGGCGUAAAGGGCUCGUAGGGGGCCAACUAAGUCAGACGUGAAAUCCCUCAGCUUAACUGGGGAACUGCGUCUGAUACUGGAUGGCUUGAGUGUAGGAGAGGAAUGCGGAAUUCCAGGUGUAGCGGUGAAAUGCGUAGAUAUCUGGAGGAACACCGGUGGCGAAGGCGGCAUUCUGGACUACAACUGACACUGAGGAACGAAAGCCAGGGGAGCAAACGGG